GAAAUGCGAUAAGUAAUGUGAAUUGCAGAAUUCAGUGAAUCAUCGAAUCUUUGAACGCACCUUGCGCUCCUUGGUAUUCCGAGGAGCAUGCCUGUUUGAGUGUCAUUAAAUUCUCAACCUCACCCGUCUUUGUUGCGCGUGUGUGUAGGCUUGGAUGUGGAGGCUUGCAGGUCCGACUCUCUUUUGAGCUGUUGGUCUGCUCCUCUGAAAUGCAUUAGUGGGUUGUGCCCCUCAUCUAUUGGUGUGAUAAUUAUCUACGCCGUGGAUGAGUGUUUGGCAACGACGCGACCUGCUGUCUAACCGUCCGACUCGGACAAUCUUGACAUUUUUGACCUCAAAUCAGGUAAGACUACCCGCUGAACUUAA
RNAcentral lists this unclassified non-coding RNA (366 nucleotides) under uncultured Agaricales. RNAcentral's name for it is "sequence contains ITS1". The stretch from base 1 to 105 matches the Rfam family "5.8S ribosomal RNA", at positions 50 to 154 of the family's 154-position model. Lineage: Eukaryota; Fungi; Basidiomycota; Agaricomycetes; Agaricales. The record is from RNAcentral.